AACGAACGCUGGCGGCAUGCCUAACACAUGCAAGUCGAACGAGAUCCUUCGGGGUCUAGUGGCGCACGGGUGCGUAACGCGUGGGAAUCUGCCCAAAGGUACGGAAUAACUCUCCGAAAGGGGUGCUAAUACCGUAUGAUGUCGCAAGACCAAAGAUUUAUCGCCUUUGGAUGAGCCCGCGUUGGAUUAGCUAGUUGGUGGGGUAAAGGCCGUACCAAGGCGACGAUCCAUAGCNGGUCUGAGAGGAUGAUCAGCCACACUGGGACUGAGACACGGCCCAGACUCCUACGGGAGGCAGCAGUGGGGAAUAUUGGACAAUGGGCGAAAGCCUGAUCCAGCAAUGCCGCGUGAGUGAUGAAGGCCUUAGGGUUGUAAAGCUC
Molecule: ribosomal RNA, 380 nt
Filed under: uncultured bacterium
Lineage: Bacteria
Description: bacterial SSU rRNA
Rfam family: Bacterial small subunit ribosomal RNA
Source: RNAcentral